UCCAUUCCAAAAUUCACAUAGCCCUCAAC
Molecule: small RNA, 29 nt
Filed under: Bombyx mori (domestic silkworm)
Lineage: Eukaryota; Metazoa; Arthropoda; Insecta; Lepidoptera; Bombycidae
Description: piRNA piR-bmo-2136796
Source: RNAcentral